Non-coding RNA from Pleomassaria siparia CBS 279.74, 72 nucleotides. Lineage: Eukaryota; Fungi; Ascomycota; Dothideomycetes; Pleosporales; Pleomassariaceae. The record is from the annotation of a GenBank genome assembly.
GGACCGGUAGCUCAGUGGUAGAGCGGCAGAUUGCAGAUCUGAAGGUGGCUGGUUCGAUUCCGGCUCGGUCCU